GCGGAUGGCUGGAUGACCGCGGGGUGCAAGCCUCGAGGAAAGUCCGGACUCCAUGAAGCAAGGGUGCCGGGUAACCCCCGGCGGGGGCAACCCCAGGGAAAGCGCCACAGAGAAGAGACUACCCCGCAUGCGGGGGAAAGGUGAAACGGUGGGGUAAGAGCCCACCGCGGACUUGGCGACAAGGACGGCACGGCAAGCCCCACCCGGAGCAAUGCCGAAUAGGGGCCUCGCGCGGAAAGGUCUGCUCAGGCAGAGACCUCCGCAGGGACGCUUCAGCCCAGAGGCCCGGGUUGGCAGCUUGACCGCCGUGGUAACACGAGCGGCAGAGGAAUGGUCAUCCAUGGGGGAAGGUCGCAAGAUCGGGCCCCGGGACAGAAUCCGGCUUACAGGCCAUCCGCGCAA
RNAcentral lists this RNase P RNA (402 nucleotides) under Paragemmobacter aquarius. Its description in RNAcentral is "Gemmobacter aquarius Bacterial RNase P class A". It matches the Rfam family "Bacterial RNase P class A". Rfam says of the family: Ribonuclease P (RNase P) is a ubiquitous endoribonuclease, found in archaea, bacteria and eukarya as well as chloroplasts and mitochondria. Its best characterised activity is the generation of mature 5'-ends of tRNAs by cleaving the 5'-leader elements of precursor-tRNAs. Lineage: Bacteria; Pseudomonadati; Pseudomonadota; Alphaproteobacteria; Rhodobacterales; Paracoccaceae. The record is from Rfam by way of RNAcentral.